This 1455-nucleotide long non-coding RNA is filed under the name Zonotrichia albicollis (white-throated sparrow). RNAcentral describes it as "lncRNA (ENSZALG00000005510.1)". Lineage: Eukaryota; Metazoa; Chordata; Aves; Passeriformes; Passerellidae. The record is from RNAcentral.
ACCAGUUCACAUCCCAGGCAGCAGAAAAAGAACUUAAUGUUACAACUCACUUUAUAAGCUUUUUGACCAAUCACACAAAGCAAAAGCACAUUGACAAUAGUUCUAAUCACUAUAAGCACACGUACCUUUGGUUAAACAAUGCUUGCUUAUUUCAAAUACAAUACCUGCUUGUGAGCCUUCAAACACAAUGCACAGAGCUCCAUUAUUAAGCUUAGAACUUCCUAAUAUCUCACUAGAUAAACUUUUCUGCAGCCUAGGGAGUUAUUCUAGACAAGCAUUAAUACACAGAAGAAGAGUCCCUGCAGUCUCCACACUCCUCUCCAAAAAAUCCACCCCAAUUUCAGAUUUAAAACUCAGGCAAAGUGCUGAAGCAGGGAAGGUUCCUUCCCACAUAAAGCAGCCAAAAAAUAAUCCCAGAGCAGAGGGAACACUGUGGAUUACACAGCACUGAUCCCAUCUAGCACAAACACACAGCUGAACAGCUCCUUGAAAACUCUCCUUAAAAACAGCCCCGUAAAAACCCUCCAUGGAUGAUUCCUAGAAGUAAUCACCAGCAAAUUUUAUUCGUGGGAAAGCACAGCAGAGCUGAGCUAUAUUUAAUAGUGGAAAGAAGAUAAAAGUAAUCUCUCCAAAGGUCUGCAAAUGCAGAGACUCUGUGCUUGGAUAAACUUCAGUGCAUCCUCUUGCAGUAAAUUCCAGCACAGCUCAGGGAUGUUUUCCUUGUGUGAGCAGCAAUUCAGGGAAUAUUUGGUUUUCAGAUCAGAGGCAGCCAUUAAAGCAUCCUUCCUGAGUUUCUUUUCACCACAAGCUGAAAUAUUUCAUCCCACAACUGGAGAGGGCUGGAGCUUUGAUAAUUCAGAGCCCUCAAAUCCCCCUGCCAGGAAGAAUUCCAGAAUUCUCCUUGGGGAAUUUGCUCCUUCUUUCCAUUCCAUUUCCCUUUGGGGUUUUUUCCUGAAGCAGAGCUUUUUCUCCCCAGAGCAAACAAUGGCAGCCCUCGGGAGAUGUGGAUCCUCGGGCAUCCAGCAGAGUGACAGCAGCCUCGGCUGUAAUUAUGGCCCUGCAAUCUGCAUGUCAUGAAUAAAUUGGGAGUUCAGCAAUAGCUGCAAUCACCACCCACGGGUUGAUGGCGAAGAUGGGCAGCAGCUGGGUAAAUGUUCAUUUUUGAUCUUUCCCUGACAACAAAAAGAGGGAUGGAGUGCAGGGCUUGUCCCCUGAACCCCCAAAACUUCUGCACCAAUCAGCUGGGCUGGGAAGAAAGGUGGAAAAUUUAGAAAAUGAGGAAAAACUUCAAACACAGCUAAAAUCGAGGCUUUUCUCCUGUUCUUUGAGCCAUUUGGUUCGCAGAUGUUUUUGGGAGCUCUCAGAGUGUGGCAGUCAGAGCCAACAGGGCACCCACACCAUGGCCAUGGGGAAAGCUUGCUGUUCUGAGCAAGCAAUUUCCCUGACAGUUUCUUA